This 619-nucleotide ribosomal RNA is filed under the name uncultured Mycoplasma sp. RNAcentral's name for it is "bacterial SSU rRNA". It matches the Rfam family "Bacterial small subunit ribosomal RNA", at positions 499 to 1125 of the family's 1533-position model. The record is from RNAcentral. Lineage: Bacteria; Bacillati; Mycoplasmatota; Mollicutes; Mycoplasmatales; Mycoplasmataceae.
AACUAUGUGCCAGCAGCUGCGGUAAUACAUAGGUCGCGAGCGUUAUUCGGAUUUAUUGGGCGUAAAGCAAGCGCAGGCGGAUGGAUAAGUUCUGUGUGAAAAGCAGCUGCUCAACAGCUGUUUGCGCCGAAUACUAUCCAUCUAGAAUACGGUAGGAAGUUUUGGAAUUGAAUAUGGAGCGGUGGAAUGUGUAGAUAUAUUCAAGAACACCAGAGGCGAAGGCGAAAACUUAGGCCGCUAUUGACGCUUAGGCUUGAAAGUGUGGGGAGCAAAUGGGAUUAGAUACCCCAGUAGUCCACACCGUAAACGAUGGGUAUUAAAUGUUGGGGCUGGUGCCUCAGCGUUGUAGCUUACGUGUUAAAUACCCCGCCUGGGUAGUACAUAUGCAAAUAUGAAACUCAAAGGAAUUGACGGGGACCUGAACAAGUGGUGGAACAUGUUGCUUAAUUCGAUAAUACACGAAAAACCUUACCAAGAUUUGACAUCCCUCGCGAAGCUUUAGAGAUAAAGUGAAGGUUAUCGAGGUGACAGGUGGUGCAUGGUUGUCGUCAGCUCGUGUCAUGAGAUGUUGGGUUAAGUCCCGCAACGAGCGCAACCCUACUCUCUAGUUGUUUGUUUA